CCUACGGGUGGCAGCAGUGAGGAAUAUUGGUCAAUGGCCGUAAGCCUGAACCAGCCAAGUAGCGUGAGGGAUGACUGCCCUAUGGGUUGUAAACCUCUUUUAUGCGGGGAUAAAGUUGUCCACGUGUGGGUGUUUGUAGGUACCGCAUGAAUAAGGACCGGCUAAUUCCGUGCCAGCAGCCGCGGUAAUACGGAAGGUCCGGGCGUUAUCCGGAUUUAUUGGGUUUAAAGGGAGCGUAGGCCGGUCUUUAAGCGUUCCGUGAAAUUUUGUGGCUCAACCCUGAGCGUGCGUGGCGAACUGGAGAACUUGAGUGUGCGGAAGGCAGGUGGAAUUCGUGGUGUAGCGGUGAAAUGCUUAGAUAUCACGAAGAACCCCGAUUGCGAAGGCAGUCUGCCGCAGCGUUACUGACGCUGAAGCUCGAAAGUGCGGGUAUCGAACAGGAUUAGAUACCCGGGUAGUC
RNAcentral lists this ribosomal RNA (460 nucleotides) under uncultured bacterium. RNAcentral describes it as "partial 16S ribosomal RNA". It matches the Rfam family "Bacterial small subunit ribosomal RNA", at positions 338 to 795 of the family's 1533-position model. The record is from RNAcentral.